CGGGGCUGGAGCGGGGGUAGGCGGGGCUGAGAUGCACUUCGGGCCGGUUGGCCGCAGCUUGGCCUCUUUCUGUUCGCCGACCCUCUUUAGGGUCUCUCUUUUCCCUCUUCCCCGGCCCCGGUGGCGGCUUCGGUGGCAGAAGUCUCUUACCUGCUGGGCUGUCAGGCCUGGCAUUGCCGGCGACCGCCGAUCCUCCCCUCUCCUUUCGCCGGGUGACUGCUGCGGGGGUGUCCAGUGGCUAGUGCCCGCUGGCUAACAACCCAACCCUGCAACGUGGGACGGUUGGUCGGGAGCCUUGCCUCGGGCGUCCCUGGUGUCAUCCGAGGGGUAAUCCUGCUGCCCACCUUCUGAAUCGGAGGUGCUUUGCUGCAGGACAGGCUCCUGUGGAUGUUCGUUUACCACCUUAAUGAAUCACCGAGCUUCUUUUUUCCAUGGGGGACUUAGACCAAAAGUUGAUCCUUAUGGAUGGUUUCAUUGAUCAUAGAUUGAACAGUGAGCAUGUUCUCAAUCAAGUGCAGCUUAUGAGAGAUCAGAUUGAUUUGGCUUAUGUCAAAGCAAUAUAAAUGCAUUUAGUUUGAAAGCUGGGUCAGUACACUAUUAGAUAUUAGAUAAUUACAGUGCUCGUUAUUGAUUUUAAUGCCAACGUUUGAGAUCCCAGUGACCAGUGGGCAUAUUUUUGCUGCUUGUGUGAUUGAAUUCAUUAGCUGUCAUAGCAGGAAGUAUGUUUUACAAAUUGUCAGAUGCUUGACAAACUUUUUCUAGUUUUGAGGGCCACAUUUAGAAGAUUAUAAGAGGUGAUGGUUACUUUUCAUUUUGAAAGCAUUCUUCUGACACUCUUUGGAAUGCUCCUAAAGCGGAUUGAAUUUAGAGACUGACCUUUUUUUCUGACCUCAAACUUUAGAGGUUAAGAAGUUUGAUUGCAGAGUUCUCUCCACUUUCACUGUUGCCUCCUCUGCCCUAAAAUACAGGUGUUCUUGCUUGAGUUUCUCUGUCCACCUCUAGGAUGCUGUGCCGGAAGUGGGUCUGGAAUAAAUGAGGAAGCAGGUGGAAAAUUAUUUGGCUUACUGUCAAGAUCUUUCACGCCCUGGGUAAAAGUUAGAAGUUGUUUGCUCUAUAAAUUUUCCAGUCUGUUUAUAAUUGAUUUAGCCUGUUAUGGGGCAGUUCUCUUCUGUCCUAUAGGGUCACUAUGAGUCGGAAUCGACUCGACGGCACUGGGUUUUGUUACCGAGGCAAGGUGCUUCCUUGGACCUGGUGCCUGGGAGAAUCUAGCCUUCAAGAGAAGUAAUCCAAUUUGUUUUUAUUGUCGUGGGUUAUAAACUAUUAUUCUUUAUUCUCUUUUAGCAUGAAAGAGAGGAUUUGGAGUGAAGUCAAUGGAGUCUAUUCAUUUUCAACCCAUUCUUCCAUAUUUAUGCAAUACAGUAUCUACUAUUAGAUUCAUGCAGUCAUUUAACAUAUAUUAUGUUCUUAGUCUGGGCUAGGAGUGGGCCUAGAAAGGUGAAUAAGAAAGACAACAUCCCUGGUCUUUUUGAUGAAUUGUGGUGAUCAAGACCGUGUAAAAAAAGGUCAAAGAAGGUAAGUUUGGAUAGUGAUGCAUGAUAUAAGGAAAAAAAAAUCAGAAUGGAGUGACAGAAAGGGAUGGGGAAUGCCCUUUUAGAUAAGAAGGGAAGGCCUUUCUAAGAAAGUGACUUAGGUGAGAAGACCUGAAUGAUGGGAAACAAGAAGCAGCCUUGCAAAGACUAGGUAGAGAAAGAACAUUGUAGCUGGAGGAAAAAGCAGUGUAAAAGUCAUGGGUAGGGAACAAGUUUGACAAGUUCAGGGAUUCAGUGAGGGUCUUCUGGGUCAGUGAAAAAGAGGAAGACCCUCAAGGAGGUGGCUUGCAACAAUGGGCUCAAACAGCAACAAUUGCGAAGAUGGCCCAGGACCAGGCAGUGUUUUGUUCUGUUGUACAUAGGGUCACCAUGCAUCGGAACUGCUCGUUGGCACCUAACAACAACAACAAUUUCUGGUUCAUGCAGCCUUGGUGCUGAUUCCUGUGAGAGUGAAAUUGACAGCCUGAUAUUUAUUUGUCCUGGAAUCUCUCAGGGAAAACUUCUCACUGCUCUUCAGCUCCCAGCAGCCCUCAUUUCCCAUUAGUAAAUGUUUAUAUAUCUGUGUGAAGUCUUUGGAAUUGAAUUUUUAUCCCUGUUAUUAUUUUAACAUGGGGGCUGAAAAAAGAUGCUUCAAUUUUUAUUUUGCCUAACCGAUGUAUCUCUAAAGGAUUUUCUAUAAUGUUUCACAAUUGUUACAAGAUAAUUUACUCUCUGAACUACUGGAACUAGGCAGAUUAGUUAAAUAGCAAGAGGCCAGCUAACUCAGUAAAUACUAUAAAGCUGAUAACGCUUUGAGAAAAGAGCAUUCUUUGUUAUGACGAGCUACUCGGGUUUGUUUUGGUUUUUUUUUUUUUUACUCUUAUCUUGGAAAGGAGUUAUAGCUUCCUUGUUUUUUGAGUUAUACCUUUUUAUUUGGCAUUAGAUAAAACAGUUUGCAGUAGAAUAUUGGGUGGACUUGUUUCCUGGGCCCUGGGCAAGUUUUUAGUAGUUAGGACCUUUUUCUUUCACUGAACUCUUGAUGAAAGUCUAAAAUAAUUUAUCCUGAACAGGAGUUGUUUUCUUAACUUCUCCGAGCCUCAAUUUUAUUCGUUUUUUUUUUUUAAGUUGUUAUUCAUAUUUGCACUUUUAUUACAUAAUGUUGAGAAAUGUUUAAAAAAAAAAAAAGCAAGUUUAUUGCCCACACAUAUUUUUUCUUUUUUGAAUUGCUUGUUGGAAUAUAUUUCUGUUUGAAUAUUUGUUGUUAAUAUGCCAGAGUUUAUUAUAUUCAAGAUAUUAAUUCAUUGAUAUUUAUGGGUCAGGAGAAGAAAUUAGGAACCGUGAGUCCUGGAACCUUGCUCUGGCCAUAGGAGAAAAAAUGUUCUACUGGCCUCUUUUACUUAUAGAGAGGAAGGAAUUUACCCAAGCAUUUGAUCUGGCUUGAGUUCAAAGAAAACUUUAAUUUCAAGGCUUUUGCCAGUUCUUUAUGUUGCAAGAAUGGAGACUGGGAUCCAUUUCUUUCUUUUUUUUUUUUAUUCAGUUAUUUUCUUGUGUGUUAUUAUUUUUUUUUAAUUGUACUUUAAAUGAAGGUUUACAGUACACAUAUUGUUUUAUGAUAUUGGUUAACAACCCUAACCAUAACUGUUGCUAUCGAGUCCUACAACAUGUCAACACUCUCCCUUCUCAAACUUGGGUUCGUUGUCACCAGCUUUCCUGUCCCCUCCUGCGUUCUAGUCCUUGCCCCUGGGCUGGUGUGCCCCUUUAGUCUCAUCUUGUUUUAUGGGCCUGUCUGAAACCCUGGUGGUAUAAUGGUUAAGAGCUACGGCUGCUAACCAAAAGGUCAGCAGUUUAAAUCCACCGGGCAUUCCUUGGAAACUCUGUUGGGCAUUCUGCUCUAUCCUAUAGGGUCGCUAUGAGUUGGAAUUGACCCGAUGGCAGUGGGUUGGUUUGGGUAAUCUUUGGCUAAAGGGUGAAUGAACCUCAGGAGUGACUUCAUUACUGAGGUAAAAGGGUGACCGGGAGCCAUACUCUCAGGGUUUCUCCAGUCUCUGUCAGGCCAGUAAGUUUGGUCUUUUUUCGUGAGCUCUGAAGAAGAUUCUGAGUCUCCAUAUAUACUUUUUCAAUGAUUUGCUCCAAACAUCAAGUUUCACUUAGGAAACGAAUUGAUUAGAUUGAUAUUAAAAAUUAUUUUCUCCAACCCAGAACUGUGGAAGAAGUAAAGCCUGGGAGAGAAAGGUGUGUUUGAUUGUUCCUGGCCCUGCACAACUGGGCAGGCAAAGCUUGAUAGCUUAUUGUAAUUGUCUUUUAAUAUGUUAGUGUCUCCAUUUGAAUAGAGCUGUACAGUAACCCUUUAGGUCUGCAAACCGGGAACCUAGAUUUGGGCUCUUCUCUCUCUAGUGGUAUCUGUCUGUGCCAUCCGGGAGCCAGGGCAAUGCUAGUGGGUGGGAGGCAGGCAGUCUCAUCAGAAGUGAAUGAGAGGUCCGAGUAGGAAAGUGUGUGACACCACCACCGCCCUUCUUGAUUGGCUGUUUUAUUCCAGAUACUUUGAGAAAAGAAGAAGCUGGGCAGAUGACCUGAGGGAGGUGGAAAGGGGGGACCUCACUACAACCAAGAAGAAGAGACAGGAGCAGAGUGCAUCCUUUGGAUCCAGGCUCCCUGCGCUGAAAACCUCCUAGACACCAGGAGACAGAGAAAGAGAACUAUAACACAGGAGAUCGCAUAAGAUGGUGAGAAGCGGUGGCAGCAGAACCAAAAGAUUGGUGUGAGAUGGCACAGUGAGCUUCCUGGCCCAUGGGAUGAGAUGGUUAUAGUGGGUGUGCCAACCCCCAGGGUGAGAGAGCUGAGUGCUGUUGGACAGGAGGCUUCCUGACAGAGUGGGGUGCCUCCGAACACUUGGCAGAGCUAGAUUUGCCAGCUACUCAUGGAGCAAGAGAGCUGAGAGCCUUGGGGCUGAGGUUGCUGACAGAGUGGGUACUCCCGGGCACUUUUUGGUGGAGCUAAACAGCUUUGUAACACUUGCACGAGCAGGGGAAAAGCUGGGCCAAAGGGCUGAGAGGCUGAGGGCCAGAGAGAGACCUGCAUGCGGCCACGGCAGAGAAGACACUGUCCUUAUUAAGAACUGUAUCCUGGGUCAUCCCUGAUCCUGAAUUGUAACAUGUUACUUCCCUAAUAAACUCCGUAACCAAGUAUGGUCUGUGAGUUCUGUGUGACCUUUGCAAUGAAUUAUCGAACCCAGCAGAGAAGUAGAGAGUGCCGUGGAGGGAUGGAUGGUGUCAGAAUUGGUAAAAAGGCUGGAAGGUAGAGGUAUAUCCGACCUCUGCCUCACAGGAACCAGCUUUGGGCUGUUGAUGCUGAUAAUGAUUUUCUCGCCUUCCCUUUGUGAAGUUAGACAAGGAGGUCAGGCACCUCUGCCACGCCAUUUUUACAAAAUGGAAGAAAGUAGAGGGGUAAUAGUUUCUUCAUUUUACAUGGUGGGGAAUCAAUAAAUAUGACCCAAAAUUGGUGAAUUCAAACAUAAAGCUGUAAAUCUGGUUUUUAGAAUUGUGAAUUCCAUAUUUUUAUGCAAAUAAUGCAUGCCUUCUACGUUUAUUUGCCAACCUGGUCUUUCCCCCUUGAGGUAUUUUCGUAAGCAUGCUCUGCUGAUUUUUUUACAGCAACAUGUUAAAAAAAAUUGGCAUAGCAGUGCUUAUGAAAAUACCUCGCAGGGGAGGGUGCAGUUGGCAGACAUGGAGAAGGCACACAUUAUUUGUGUAAAAAUAUGGUAAUCAUCAAAAAUAUUGAAAACAGUUAAACUGGUUGAAAGUGGCAGGUGGGGUAGAUUUUACUUUUCAUUUUAAACUGUUCUGAUGAUUUGGAGUUUUAAAAAAUUAUAUUUCUAUAUAUUCCUUUUUUUGAAUAAUUUUAUAAAAAAAUUGAUAAAAAUUGGAAACUUUUUUUUUCCUUCUACUUUUAAAGUUCCUCCUCCUACUCUCAGAUUCCCUAGGAAUAUACCUCAAGUUAUAAAGAUUGGUAUUGCUUAGAGAGUAAGAAUUGAAAUGGCAGGAAGAGGGGAAGAAGGGAGACUUGCUUUUCACUUAAACAUCACUUUGUACUCUGGACUUUUAAAAUAAGAGCCCAUCAUAGUUUAAUGGCAACUAAAUGUAUAUGAAUUUAAAGAGUAAAUCUUUUCCUUAUACUCUGUUGAAGAAACAGUUUGAAAACACUGCAUAUUAAAAAAAAAAAAUCAGGGUAUAUAUAAACUGCUAUUUACUAUGUAAAAAGGUACACUUCCUUGUAGAUGCACGACUAUUUCAGGAAGAAAAUGUCGGAAACUAGUUACAUUGAAAACCUCUGAGGAGGGAAAUGAGCCCACAAAGGAGACUUUUUACUGAAUAUCCUUGGAAUUUUGUGUCACAUGAAUUUAUUACCUGUGAUGGUUAAGGUUGUGUGUCAGCUUGGCUGGGCCAUGAUUCUUAGUGGUUUGGCAGUUACAUCAUGAUGUAGCUUGGCAGUUAUGUAAUGAUGCAGUUGUCCUCCAUAAUAUAAUCUGAUAUGAUCAGCCAGUUCUAAGGGGAGUUUUAUUGGGGGUGUGGCCUACAUCCUAUAUAUAUGUGUGUAUGUGUAUAUAUAUAUGUGUGUGUGUGUAUAUAUAUAUAUAUAUAUAUGGAUGUUCUGGCAAAGUUUGCUCACUUUCUUUGGAUCCUACAUCAGCUUGUCAUCUGACUUCCAGUUCUUGGGACAUGAGCCAGUGGCUUGCCAUGUUACCUGCCAGUCUUGGGAUUUUUUUGGCCUCUGUAGCCUGUGAGCCAACAGCUGGCUGUUUGACCUGCCCAUAUUGGGUUUAUCAGCCCCUGCAACUACGUGAGUCAGGAGAAGCCUCCAGCCUGAUGCCUGACCCAUGGACUUGGGACUUGCCAAACUCUGCAGCGGUGUGAGCCAUUUCCUUGAGAUAAACCUCUCUCUCUCUUUUUUUCCUCUCUCUCUGUAUAUACAUCCUUCGCUGGUUUUGCUUCUCUAGAGAACUUAGCACAAGUAAGACAUUACCUAUUCAAAUAAGUUUGAAUGGAUCACUAUGUAUAUUACAUGAUUCUAGAACAAGAAAAAUUUUACUUUGUAGCUGGAAUUUGUUAUGUAUUGUGAGGUAAUACAGAAAUUAGUGGUGAGAAUGUGAUUGUUACAUUAUCUCUUUUUAACUGAAAUUUUUAUUGAGGCAAUUAUAAAUUGACAUGCAGUUGUAAAAAAUAAUACAGAGAAGUCUCCUGUACACUUUACCAAGUUUCCCUCACUCAUCUAUGCCAAAAAAUUUGGAAGAUGGCUACCUGGCCAGCUGAGUGGAUGAGACUCAUAUUUGUGCCCAUUCCAAAGAAAGGUGAUUCAGCAGAAUGCAGAAAUUAUCAAAUAGUAUCCUAAAUAUCACAUGCAAGUAAAAUUUUGUUGAAGUUAAUUUAAAAACGGUUGCGGCAGUACACUGACAGGGAACUGCCAAAAAUUCAAGCUGGAUUCAAAAGGGGAUGUGUAAAAUAAGGGAAUAUCAUUGCUGAUGUCAGAUGGAUCUUGGCUGAAUGCAGAGAAUACCAGAAAGAUGUUUACCUCUGUUUUAUUGACUAUGUAAAGGCAUUCGGCUGUAUGGAUUAUAACAGAUUAUGGAUGACAUUAUGAAGAAUGAGAAUUCCAGAACGCUUAAUUGUGUUCAUGUGCAACCUGUACGUAGAACAAGAGGCAGUUGUUCAAACAGAAUGGGGGCUACCGCGUGGUUUAAAAUCAGUAAAGAUGUGUGCCAGGGUUGUGUCCUUUCAUCAUAUGUAUUCAGUCUGUGUGCUGAGCACAUAACCCGGGAAGCUGGACUAUAUGAAGAAGAACAGGACAUCAGAAUUGGAGGAAGACUCAUUAACAACCUGUGAUAUGCAGAUGAUGCAACCUUGCUUGCUGAAAGCAAAGAGGACUUGAAGUACUUAUGAAGAUUAAAGACUACAGCCUUCAGUAUAGGUUACACCUCAAUAAAAGCAAACAAAAAUCCUCACAACUGAAUCAGUAAGCAACAUCAUGAUAAAUGGAAAAAGUAUUGAAGUUGUCAAGGAUUUCAUUUUACUUGGAUCCAUAGUCUGCGCCCAUGGAAGCCGCAGUCUAGAAAUCAAAGGACGUAUUGCAUUGGACAAAUGAGCUGCAAAAGAUCUCUUUAAAGUGUUUGGAAGCAAAGAUGUCACUUUCAGGACUAAGGUGAUCCUGACCCAAGGCAUGCUAUUUUCAUUCACUUCAUAUGCAUAUGAAAGCUGGACAAUGAAUAAGGAUGAUACCGAAGAAAAAUUGAAUUAUGAUGUUAGUGAAGAAUAUCGAAUAUUCCAUGGACUGCCAGAAGAACAAACAAAUCUGUUUUUGAAGAAGUACAGCUAGAAUGCUUCUUAGAAGGGAGGAUGGUGAGGCUUCAUCUUACAUACUUUAGACAUGUUAUCAGGAGGGACCAGUCCCUGGAGAAGGCUGUCAUGCUUGCUAAAGGAGAGGAUCACUGAAAAAAGGGAGACCCUCAACAAGAUGGAUUGACACAAUGACUGCAACUUUGGGCUCAAAUAUAGCAGUGAUAAUGAGGAUGGCAUAGGACAGGGCAGUGUUUUGUCCUGUUGUACAUAAGGUAGCUAUGAGUUGGAACUGACUUGACGGCACCUGACAACAACCCCAGUGGUAACAUUUUGCAAAACUAUAGUGUAUGGAUGGUACCACAACCAUGACAUUGACAUUACUCUGCAUUACUUUUCAAGAUAUGUGUAUAACCUUUUUUUUCUCAAAGGAAAUUGAAUUAGGGAUGGAUGUUGGUCUAAGUAGUAUUGGACUGAUUUUUGUUAGGGCCCCUGUAUUUUCAGUUUUUCUUAGUGGUUGCCCUAGGAUUUACAAUGUACUUCUUUAAUUAAUCACUGUCUGUCUUUAAAUAUUAUACUGUUUCAUGUAUAGUAUAAAACCUUUCAACAGUAUGCUCCCAGUUCUCCCAUCUCAUCUUUCGUGCUGUUGUUGUCAUACAUUUCACUUUUACAUAUGCUAUAAAUUCAUAACACAUUGCUACUAUUUUUGCUUUUGACAGUCAGUUAUCUUCAUUUUUUUGUAGAUCCAGGUUUGUGUCUGCCUGAAGAACUUUUUAAAAUAAUUUCUUGUAGUCCACUGCUGGUAAUGAAUUCUCUCAGCUUUUGUUUGUUUAAAUAAUCUUUGUUGUUGUUGUUAGGUACCAUUGAGUUGGCUUGGACUCAGUGACCCUAUGUACAACAGAAUGAAACACUGCCCGGUCCUACACUCCUCACAGUCAUUGUUAUGCUUGAGCCCAUCAUUGCAGCCGGUGUGUAACUCUGUCUUGUUGAGGGUCUUCCUCUUUUUCACUGUCCCUCUACUUUACCAAGCAUGAUGUCCUUCUCCAGGGACUGAUCCCUCCUGAAAAUGUGCAAAGUGUGUGAGAUAUAGUCUCACCAUCCUUGCUUCUAAGGAGCGUUCUGGUUGUACUUCUUCCAAGACAAAUUUGUUCGUUCUUUUGGCAGUCCAUGGUGUUAACAGUAUUCUUCUCCAAUACCACAAUUGAAAGACGUCAGUUCUUCGGUCUUCCUUAUUCAUGGUCCAACUUUUGCAUGCAUAUGAGAUGAUUGUAAACAACAUGGCUUGGGUCAGGCCUUUCUUAGUCUUCAAGGUGACAUCUUUGCUUUUCAACACGUUAAAGAGGGCUUUUGCAGCAAAUUUGCCCAAGGCAGUGCGUCUUUUGAUUUCUUGACUGCUGUUUCCGUGACUGUAUAUUGUGGAUCCAAGUAAAAUGAAUCCUUGACAACUUUAGUCUUUUCUCUGUUUAUCAUGAUGUUGCUCAUUGGUCCAGUUGUAAAGUUUUUUGUUUUCUUUAUGUUAAGGUGUAAUCCAUACUGAAGGCUGUGGUCUUUGAUCUUCAUCAAUAAGUGCUUCAAUUCCUCUUCACUUUCAGCAAGCAAGGUUGUGUCGUCUGCAUAUUGAAGGUUGUUAAUGAGUCUUCCUCCAAUCUUGAUGCCCUGUUCUGCAUAUAGUACAACUUCUCAGAUUAUGUGUUCAGCAUACAGUUGGAGUAAGUAUGGUGAAAAGAUACAACCCUGAUGUACACCAAUCCUGACUUUAAACCACAUAGUAUCCCCUUAUUCUGUUUGAACGACUGCCUCUUGAUCCAUGUACAGAUUUCUCAUGAGCACAGUUAAGUGUUCUGGAAUUCCCAUUCUCCUCAGUGUUUUCCAUAAUUUAUUAUGAUCCACACAGUUGAAUGCCUUUGCAUAGUCAAUAAAACACAGGUAAAUAUCUUUCUGGUAUUUUCUGUUUUCAGCCAGGAUCCAUCUGACAUCAGCUAUGAUAUCCCUCGUUCCACGUUCUCUUCAGAAUCUGGCCUGAAUUUCUGGCAGUUCCCUGUCGAUAUACUGCUGCAGCUGCUUUUGAAUGAUCUUCAGCAAAAUUUUACUUGCGUGUGAUAUUGAUGAUAUUGUUCGAUAAUUUCUGCAUUUGGUUGGAUCACCUUUCUUGGGAAUAUGUAUAAAUAUGGAUGUAAGCCAUGAUUCAUGGCUUAGCCAAAUUGACACACAUUAUAUGGGGACAGAAUUCAAUCCAUAACAAGUUUAGAGUCCUGGGUUGACUUUUUUUUUUUUUCCUUUCAACACUUUAAAGAUAAUCACUCCUCUGUUUUCUAAUUUGAAUAAUUUCUGAUGAGAAGUCUGUUGUAAAUGUUAUUUUCAUUUUUCUGCAUAUAAUGUAUCUUUUUUUCCCUUUGACUGCCUUCAAGAUUUUGUCUUUUGUUUUUAGGAGUUCGAACAUGAUGUCUUUAGGGGUUUGCGUGUGUGCAUGUUGAUGUAUAUUCUGUUCGUGGCUUUUUGUGCUUCUUGGAGCUAUAGUUUGAUGUCUUUCAUCAUUUUUGGAAUACUGUCAGUUACUGUCUUUUCAGAUAUCUUUUAUCCUGUUGUCAAUCUUUUUCUUCAAGGGUUCCAAUUACACAUACAUUAGAUUGUUCAGUACCAUCCCAUAGUUCUUGGAUACUCUGUUCAGUUUUUAUCCCCAGUCUGUUUUCUCUUUAUGUUUCAUUUUGGGUGAUUUUCUUCGACCCUCUUCAAGUUCACUUAUUCUUUCCUUAACCAUGUUGAGUGUAUUGCUGAGCUCAUUGCAGGUGUUCUUCAUUUCUGUUACCAUGGUUUUUAUUUCUAGCAUUUAUAUUUCAGUCUUAUAGUUUUCAUUUUUCUGCUUAAAUUUUUUAUAUUUGCUUGUGCAUUUUAACAUACCAAUCACAGUUAUUUAAUAUUCCUUGUCUUAUAGUUACAAUGGAAACCCUGGUGGCUUAGUGGUUAAGAGUUUGGCUCCUAACCAAAAGGUUGGCAGUUUGAAUCCACCAGGUGUUUCUUGGAAACCCUAUGGGGCAGUUCUCCUCUGUUCUCUAGGGCUCCUAGGAGUCAGAAUUGACUCGAUGGUAACUGGUUUUCUUUUGAUUUUGGUAUAGUUAAAAUAAUCAUAUCACUUCUGAGUCUGGCUCUCUUGAUUGUGUCUUGGCAGUGAGUUGUUUUUUUCCUUGUCUUUUAAUGUAGUUUUUGUUUUAAUAUUGGAUGUUGUGUAUAGGACAGUAGAGAAUGAGAGAAAUGGUUUUUAUACCUGGAAAUGGGUAAACCUUUUUUUGUGCUAUAUUAUUUGUGUUGAGGCUUGAGUCAGUAUAGUUAGGAGUUAAGCUUGGUUUAGGUUUUGUUGUUGCUCUGGCUAUCUUUAUCACUGGCUUCAAAUUUCCCUAGCCUUUUGUUUAUUGUAGGACUGGACUGCUGUAGGGUUUUCUUAAUAUUCUUCCUCUACCCUCAGCUUUUUGUGUGCUGUGCACCUGUUCCUUAGAGGGUAUCCCUUUCUGUGAUUUUGUCCCUCUCUAAGCAGUAGACUGUUGGUGCUUUAUAGCCUAAUAGUGGUAGGUGGGAGUUUUCUGUCCACCUGGUCCAGCCUCAGUCUUAGGCAGGUCCUUUAUUCGUGGGUUUUGUGGGUGGGGCGUUCUCACUGAUUUUGCCCCUCCUGUGGUGUGGUAGUAACAGACUUUUAAUGGUGUGGGCCCUGGGGGUUUUCUUGCCUUUUCCCCAGGGCUGGAGGUUUUUUUCGUUUCCCUUUCCCCAGCUAUAGUGGUUCUUCCUCUUUCCCUAGGGUUGACUGGGUUUACUGCCCUUAUUUCUGUAGCCCAAGCCUUUUGUUCUGUUGGGGACAAGGGUCCUGGUGGGGCUUUGUGUCUCCCUCUCCCACACAACAGCAGCCACUGCCCUCUUCCAGACCUGCACCUCCUUGUCCCCAUUCUUUUUUACGACCCCUGGUUGGUAUCUUUGGAGAAGACCAAGUGAGUGGGUGCAAACUCCCCUUCUGUCUGUGGCUUCCGGGCAUUCUAUACUUAUACUCCAGCCUUUAGCACUUCGUAAGAAGUUUUAGCCGAAUUCUUCUUAAGCACUUGUAUGGCGCUUGGCAUCUCUUUUCCGCAUGGUCUGCCAUAGGUCAGCUAGUGCUGGCAUCCUGUCUCUCCCUGGGAGGUGCCUGGCUCCCGUAGAUUUUUGAGUCCUUGAUUAUCCUAUGACCUCAGCUCUCUGAUGGAUUCAAGGAUAGUUAUGAUUUUGUAGAUUAUUUGGUACUUUGUUAUUGUUAGUAUGUGAGCAGUGCUCUUUCUAGUUUUCUGCAUCCUAGUCUAGCCUCCAUGUGUUUUCUGGUAUAUUUGCCAAAUCUGAGCCUUGCUACCCCUACCUUCCCACCCUCUUAGGUAUCUUGUAAGCUGUGCUGGUAGAACUUUGUGAAUGAAUUUGUCGUCACAUGUUCACAUAGGGUGAAAUUUUAUUACUAAUAAAAUACAGUUUUUAAAACAUCAUUUACUGAUUAUUCUCUGUUCUCAAGGAGCAGGAUGGGAUUCAGAUUUAUAAAUUCACUUAGUCUGCUGUUAUUAAUAAAUAGGAAUAAAAAUAAUAUGAUAAAUAGUAAUAAAAAAAAUAGCUAAGAUUUAUUGAGUGUUUAUCCUUUGGUGGAAACCCUGCUGGUGUAGUGGUUGAGUUAACCAAAGGGUCGCCAGUUUGAGUCCGCCAGGCGCUCCUUGGAAACUCUGUGGGGCAGUUCUACUCUGUCCUAUAGGAUCACUAUGAGUCGGAAUUGACUUGACGCGCUGGGUUUGGUUUGGUUUGGUUUUUAUCCUUUGGCAGGUAUUAUGCGAAGCGCUUUGCAUGCAUCAUUGUUCCUGGUGGAUUACCUUUUGACUGAAAAAGAUGUACCUUCCCUUCCCCAAGGAGACAGAUUGUUGUUGACAAUUAGGGUGGUUCCACAGAGCAGGCACCAAAAACAAACAAACAAACAAACAAAAAAACCAA
Long non-coding RNA from Loxodonta africana (African savanna elephant), 12874 nucleotides. RefSeq lists it as uncharacterized. The transcript is spliced from 2 exons. The record is from RefSeq and is a predicted model, not a curated record. NCBI's taxonomy places the organism in Eukaryota, Metazoa, Chordata, Mammalia, Proboscidea, Elephantidae.